This 18148-nucleotide long non-coding RNA is filed under the name Musa acuminata (dwarf banana). Its description in RNAcentral is "long non-coding RNA (MACU_LNC008403)". The record is from RNAcentral. Lineage: Eukaryota; Viridiplantae; Streptophyta; Magnoliopsida; Zingiberales; Musaceae.
AGGUGCUGAAAGCCUUCUUAGAUUUGGAGAAGUGCCGAUUUUCAAGAACGUGAAUCUUAUGAUAUGUAUGGGGAAUCUCUUAUGAUAAUCAUCCACGCCUUCCACUUAUUUUGAUGCCGGAAAGUUGGAUAGGUUGGCCCCUACGUAAGGACUACUAUAUUACUCCCCCUAUUUCUCUAUGAAAUACAAGAUUGGAUUGGAUUUGUACAGUGUGUAGGAGGUACAUUCUUUCUAUUGCUAUCCUUUCACUCCUCUCGACUCUACUUGAGAAGUGUUUUUCACUUAUAUGUUCUGUAUGAAUUAUAGAUAUCUUACAUAAGAGACGGAUUCUUCUUUUUGACUAAAGCACAGUAAGAAGAAACAUGAAAGAAAAAGAGAGAGACGGGAGCAUAAUAGAACUUUGUUCUUGCUUGACCAUUACCUUCCAUACAUAUAUUUUGACCAAUAAAUAGGAGGAGGUGUAUAUAGUUAGACAGAUAGAUGAGUAAAUACGUAUGAAUACUCAAAAUACUAUUAACGCCCGGCCUGAUCCAUCUCGAUUCAUUUGUAUGAUCAUAUCUAUCCGAUACAUUAUUUACGUAUCAGGAACAUGAUUGGGACUGGUAACACGAGAUGAGAGAAGUAUUUUCCUCCGAUCUACCAACUGAGCCGACCAUUUACCGUGCAUAAUCCUAGUAUAGUACUCUAAUCUAUGUCAAUUAAUGGGACUAAACAAACAAAGUAGUAAAAGGGACUAAACAAACAAAGUAGUAAUAAAUGACACUAGUAAGUGUAAGGAUAAUGAUAUGGACUGUGAAUGAUUCAAUAAUAGAGAUUCUUUGCCCAUAUAUGUUCAUUUGUACAGGUUCUAUCCAAAUUGGGAUAAGAUCAUGAUUGAAGUUCGGAUCCUUUUGUGAAAGAGUAGAGUGAAUGAGAAAGAUAGUGCAGUUUGAACUAAACCACUGAUGCAAAAUAUGGAGUAUAAUAACUUUGGAAGUCAGCUUUAUUGGGAAUAGAGUAGGCUUUAUUGGGAAUAGAGUGACUUGAAACCCUAACAUUUUGAAAGUCGAUGACAGACUAACUGCUGGAAGGAAAGGGUAGUUUCAUUUAGAUUCACUAUUUAUUUGAUAAGAGAAUGGCUUCCAAUUCGGAACUGAAACUGGAGUUCUUGUGCGAGUGUUGUCAAGCGACGACUCCUCUUUUCUUGGUUGCCAUAACAAUAGAGUAUUUUCAAACAAGGGAAGAAAUAGAAUCAGCAGCACCGAGAUCAGAUGCAGUUUCCAGGGGUAAAGUUCCUGCUCUCCGUCUCUGCUUGAGUUUCCGAACACAGGACUUGUUUCUAACUAGAGAAGAAAGGAACGAAAACAGGCGAACGAACAAAGAAGGCUUUCCCCUAGGUCGUUAUGUCUAUUCUAUGGAACGGAGCUACUCGUAGGAAAGAAAGACGUAGAGAGCCUAUGAGUAUAUGAAUGGAUUAGGAGGAUUGGGAUAUCUAAGAAAUGCGGAAAUCAAUCCUGAAGAGUCAAUAUCUGUUUCACGCAAACACCGAACUCCGACUCUUUAGAAGAAUUGUUGAGGCAUGCCAUAUACCAGCUGCAUUGCAUUAUGGACCGGCAUCCAGUCCAGUACCUGACCUUAAUCAUCUACAUAAGAGCAUAUCGGCGCCUAAACCCUAAACUAUACCAAUCGGACCCAACAUCCAUCAUAUUCGAUCCCUGCACCAAACAAACCAUAUCUUAUUGACUUUGCAAUCGUCCCCAACACAUUUCUACUUAUAUCUACCACCUAUCUAUCUAUAUAUCUAAUAGAGAAACAGGUACUACCUACCUAUAUAUCUAAUAGAGAAACAGGUCUCAACCUUCUUGUUUACUCGAUCGACUAACUGGUCUCAUCUCAACCUUCUUGUUUACUCGAUCGACCUAUAGCCAUAGGCACCUUAAAUGGAAAAUGGCAUUAUGGGACCUUAACAUAGAAAAUAGCAUUAUUUACCCAAACCCUAUACUAUCAAAAGGGGGAGGCACCCCAAGAGACUUGCUUAUUCCAUUCCAUUCCCUUACCUGCCAAGUCUGAUUGUCAAGAGUCGUACGAGUGUCUGAGGGCAAGGAAUAGUAUUCAAAAAGGAAAAGAAUGUACCCAUUGGCAUGAUAACCAAUCGCAUACCCAGAAGUCUGAUGAUGCCCGGACCCUUGCAAGAGAGAUUGAUGCGAAUGAGAUUGAAAACCUGAUUGGGCGAUAUCCUCUAAGAAAGAAUCAUUGCGACUCAUUUAUAGUGUUGUUUACAAAGAAGAUUGAAACUAUAAGAGAUACAACGGGAAGCAGCUAAAACCUUAAGGAUCCUGAUAGUUGUAAUAUUAAAGCAGUAUAGUUGUGUGUAUAAAGCUGNNNNNNNNNNNNNNNNNNNNNNNNNNNNNNNNNNNNNNNNNNNNNNNNNNNNNNNNNNNNNNNNNNNNNNNNNNNNNNNNNNNNNNNNNNNNNNNNNNNNNNNNNNNNNNNNNNNNNNNNNNNNNNNNNNNNNNNNNNNNNNNNNNNNNNNNNNNNNNNNNNNNNNNNNNNNNNNNNNNNNNNNNNNNNNNNNNNNNNNNNNNNNNNNNNNNNNNNNNNNNNNNNNNNNNNNNNNNNNNNNNNNNNNNNNNNNNNNNNNNNNNNCGAGAAAGAGAUAUCCAUAAUGGAAGCCCCAGAUAACAUAUGUGAAGACCCAGAGUGCAUCAAACAAAGAAAGGAAUAGGCGAACUUGGUUUGCGGCUUGCUUGGCAAAAAUAUAUAUAGUAGAGGGGUGAAGGAGCUCGGCGGGAAUAAGCUUAGUGCCGGUAGUGCAAUACUACUUUCAAUUACAGAAUCUGAUGAUGAAGAAUAAAAGACUCUAAAAGAAACUGACUCAUAUAGAAUGCAUGUAAGCAAACUGCUUCCUAAAAGCGACUUACUUAUAUAGAAAUGAGGUAACCAAAGAGCUUAUUAAAAGCAAUGCUGUGUUGGCGCAAUAUUGCAUAUGUUAUUUAGAAAAGCAUAGAGAACUGUGAGUUACUGUAGUGAGGUUACAGUUACUAUUGCGCAAGUAUAGUGCUUUUGGUGCCUCGUGCCUCUGUCCUUAGAUUCUAUGGUGAGGGCAGCCUCAAUUCGUUCUUCUUGUUCUUUCGCUCUCUUAUGAAUUAUAUACUAGUGGUUCUUAAUACUCCUAUCAACAAGCAAGGUAAGCGCGUGAGCUUAUUGUUGUUUAGAGUUAGGUUUACUCAGUUCCAUAAGAAGUAGCACUCAAUUAGAUUCUUAUUCCAGUGUUGGGUUGGUGACUUCUUUCUAUACUGUGACAGUGCUAGCUAAAUUCAAAGCAAUGGAACAAGCAAACAAGCAUCGUUCCUAAGUGCUAACGCUUAUCUCUGGGGGUCGGGAUAGCUUCACACUGGCCCAACUGUCCCUAUAGCUAGGUUAAUGCUUGACUUUGUAGCCUGUUUUUCGACCCCUAGAAACCCCUAACGAUAGAAGACUGGAAUUCACAUUACUUGUUCAACCCACUAACGGCACUUUGGGCGAGAUCCACUAGACAAGACAGCGCUACCAACCCAACCUGACUUGAUACUUAAGCGAGCAGAGCUUCUGGAUACGAGAUUAUUACUACAGCAAACUUUCCACUCCACUACUUUGAGCUACACCCUCACAGAAUAAGUAAUAAGUGACACCUCAUAAGUAAUAAGUGCAAGAUUCCAUGAGUAUAUUGAAACUACUUCUCUUAUUUGACUUGAAUCACUCACUUUCCCCUCAUCUCCUUGCUUUCUCUCAAGAAUAGAAUCCGAACCCCCGAUUCGAUUGCUUGUUUGAGUUCUACCACAAUAGCUGCUUUCAAGGAAUGCAAUCCUUAGAUGGUAUGGCAUAGCGAAAAGUUUACACCUUCAUUAUUCUAGGUAAGAAAAUCCCCUUUAGCCUACUCUACUUUUACAUAGCAAACUAGUUGGUGUACUCCCCCUCGACGCGCUGACCCGAUGUAAGUCAAUCCUUUUGUCUCACAGAUCCAUCUUCUUUCUUUCUUAGAGCAUUAUUGAAACCAUUUGAACCUAGUCGCGUGGAAGGAGCCAGAUUACAGAUACUUUCUAUUCUCUCGACGUCUUGACCCAUACAUAGUCUGCUAAUCGAUCAACGUCUUUGAUCCUUACAAGCUUGGAUAGGACAAUAUCUCUCUGUUGUUUGUUACAUAACACUGAAUUUGUUCGUUCUUAUUACUAUGAUUCUUUCUAUUCUUAUUUCUUACUCAUUUUGCUUUAUUAUUUAUGCUGGUUUAACCUCUUCUUAUUAAUUUGUAUAUGAAUACUAGAUGAAUACUAGAUGAAUACACUGUGCCCCCGACUCUGAAAUAAGCCCUCGAGGCAAGGCGCAAAGGAAGAGAUGCUCUUCUUUGGUCUUGAACUAGCUCUCCCCGCUCGAGAGUUCAUGUUGGCGAUUCACUUAAUGAAUAGGUCCUUUGACGAUUCCCUAGCAGUGCCUGUUUGGUACCGAGCUCUUUUACGUCUUUAUUCCUUCACGCGCUAAAAUCCAAUGGGCACGAUCUGCUAAAAAGCCUUGUUUAGUUGGGUCUACAGUUUCAGUGGGUACUCACCUGCAACAUAAGUUGGGCAAAACAAACCUAGGUUCAUUCCACUUUCCACUGGACGAAGGAAAGAAAGAGAUAGAAUACAACGGGUUUUCAGACGUAUAGAGAAUUACACGAGAAUCUAGCCUUGGUCCUCUCUUUCUUUGAUAGGGCACAUAAACCAAUAUCUAAUGUGAAAAGGUUAUUGCUUAUCCCGGAAUAAAUGACAUUGAGACAGAUCCAAGUUACUGCUCAAAAGAAAAAGCGGUAGUAGCCGGGCACCGGUAGCCCCAGCCCGUAUAUAACAGUAUCAGAAAGCUAGCACUCUUUGAUUGCGGGGAAUUUCCUCGAGUCGGGUUCGAUGCCACAAUUAUCAGAUGUGUUCAAUAGUGGUUUUUCAAUUCUUAUAAUUCACUUAGAUAGUGCUUUUGACAUUAUUCUAAUUCACUCUUUCAAAGGUAAUGAAAAGGUGUGUUUCGAAAUUCUUAUAAUUCCAUCUUUCAAAGGUAAUGAAAAGGUGUGUUUCGAAAUUCUUAUAAUUCCAUCUUUCAAAGGUAAGGUAAGAAAAUCCAAUGGUUUUGAUUCAGUAUAUUGAAAUGUUACCCACGCCCGGUUAUCCACUUUCAUUAAAACCAACAUGCCAAGCUUCCUUCUUCGCUCAAGUCUCAGUGCCAAAGUAAGGAAAAGCAAAGACGCCAAGGCUCAAGACCAAAUAAGCCCUACUUUUUCCUAACCUUCGGAGAGAAAGAAAGUAUUCGUUAUCACGCCUUUUCGUAGUAAGCCAAGAGUGAGUAAGUGCUUCAGCAGACUUGUCUUGGAAAGUACCAGGAACAAGUGCUUUAUAGAGUCAAUAAGGAUGUUCUAUAAUUCUUUCGCAAUGAAGCAGCGCCUCUUCAUUGUCUCUCGUUACAGGGUUGGAUGCAUAUUUGACUCUAUGGUUAGGUUCCUUGGUCUAGCCCGCAGAUCGCUUGUCGGGCGCUUUCGGGGGCUACAUCUUCACUUGCGAUCUUCCUUUUUCUCUUUUCCAAGUUCAAAAGAACAAGUAUCUUGUGUUAUAGCCAACGAUUUACCCCCUAUAGAGAGGUUAUACUUCCUAUUUCUCUAUUAGGCUGCUACUCUUAAAUGCAUGUCAAGGAAUGAAACUGUAUGAUAUACGAUCGCAGAGCUCCUUGAGUCGACUAUAAGACUGUAGCAGAGCCUCCUUGAGUCAACUAUAAGACUGUAGCAGAGCCUCCUUGAGUCAACUGUCCGUUUGAUAUACGAUCGCGGAGCUCCUUUAGUCUUAGCUGCCUCUUUUACUGCGAUUUGAAUACUUACUAAUUAGAACAUAGCUUUUGCAUGAAGUAGCUCUCACUCGAUGAAACAUAAAGGGCAGCGGAACAGUGAAAGAACUAUAGGGUUCUAUGGCUUUCUAUCCUGGAUCCGGGGAGCGACUCCCAUAUGUAUGUUCCUUUCGACCUUAAAGCCGAUUGGGACAUGGCUCCUUGCUCGCAUUUCUUUUCUAGUCGGGGUCUUUGUUCGACCUGCACGCCCGCUUUCCUAAAUAGCAUGAAAGGUUCUUCAAUGGUUUGGUCAAGAGGGGGAAUUUCCCAAGGAGAAAGGGUCCUUAUCUCAGGAGACUGAUCGGCGGAGUAAUUUGAUCAUCUCUGUACCGACUUCUACAUCACAAUGACUUUCUAAAGCUUAUGCCCUCUAUUUUCUUGAUUCUUUUCUUUCUUAAACAGCCUUAUAUUCUUUUUCUAGAAGUAAAGCGGACUAGCCAAAGCUUCUGGAAUCACCAACUCUAGCUCGUCCUUUUGGUCCUUUUCUGAUCCUAAACAAGAACGGGCCUACUUUGAGCUCAGCUCCAGGCACCGAUGCCGAUACAAGACACAACCGCUGCAGUUCGACUAAGAGCAUGGUUCCUCCUCCUAACUAAAUAGAUUGGAAGUUAUUAGCUUCAUAUCCCGGUGUUACAAACUUCUUAUUAAUGUCUUUCACGCUCUAAUGGAAGUUUUGUUAGUUUGAGCCAUUGUUGCGAAUGAGAUAGCUUGAACCUAUGUCUCCUAGAUAAUUUACAAUUCUGAAGCUCGUGGAUCCCUCUUUCGUUAUUCCCCCUUGGAUUCUUAGAUUUCUCGUAUACCUUUUUCUCCCUCUGAAAUCUGCACAAUUUCCGCCUUUUGCAUUUCUGGAUGAGAAUCCCACAUCUUUGAAACUAGCCCCACCGUCCCAUCCCCUUGAAUCGGGCGUAAAAGAUUCUAUUGAUGGUGGAAUCGUUCACUCCUCGGUAGAGCCAAGCCUGAGAAAAUCGAAUUAAUAAAGAAGGCGUUAGAAAGGAAGGACGAGGACUCUUGCUUGUCCUGCCAUGCCAUUCAUUCCUACAUAGGGCCUUUGCUUUCAUUGAUUCCUUCUCCCAUCUAUGCGACCACUUCCUUCUCCCAUCUAUGCGACCACAAGUAUCAAUCCAUCUCCAAUUCACGGGAUACCUAUGAGCCGUAGAGCCUACUACCCCAACGCCUUUGCACUUGGAUUUGUAGCUCCGCACUGCAUUUAUCUAUGCAAUGCCACUUUCGCAUUACCUUUUUCCUACUGCUACUCUUCUUAUACCGGCGAAGUUCUUUUGAGCCCCUGGCGAUCGAUUCUAUGAUAUUCCCCCACUUAUGAACGACGCAAAACCAAACCCUUUUUGAUGCCGUAGCUGCAGCUGCCUGCCACCUGCCGAUACUCUUUUCUUGUGACUCGCCUGCCCUCUAUCUCUUUUCCAUGAAUGAAUGACAUUGGGACAGAUCCCUCAAAAGAAAGCUGUAAGGUUGGUUUAAGGAAUAGAACAUCAAAUUGCGGCGUUAAGUACAAUAGUAAGCUCAGCACUGAUACUUACUUACUUAUUAGUGUUAGUAGAGAGCCUUUCAUUAAAGUAUAAGGAGACACAAAGAGAGGUCUUUCAAGGCGGUAUAAUCAUUUUGAUAGGUCUUCAUCAAGUCGGUAGAAUCAUUUGAAUCGUUGUAAGGGAAUGCCUUAGUCAAUCAACUCACUGCCAUUGACCAGGGGAGGGGGUGGGUGGCGAACAAGACUUGCUCGGCAACAGCUGAAAUAGAGGAAUAAGCACAUAGGUCUUGAAGAAGCGGGUCUAUCGAUGAUAGCUUUUUCCAUGUAACGUUGACUUUACCCAGGAUGCGCUUAUCGCAGAACGCCCUAUUGCAGAGCCCAUUAACUUACUCAAAAGAUCAGUAUAGGAAGUUGUUUAGGAAUAUGUCAAAAGGGACGUAUAGGAAGCAGUUUAGUAAUAUAGGAAGCAGUUUAGUAAUAUUCAAUUGUCAAGACCGCUGAGCCCUCCACUGUUAAAGAAAUUCGAUUAGUGCAGUAGGUAACCCAGCCCCUAAGGGUAGUACGGGCCGGCCUUAUACCAAGCAUUUCACUUCACCUAUGCCUAAACAAUGCAAGUAAUCGAAAACAAUGCAAGUAAUCGAAGCGUACCAUGAAAAGCAGAUCGAGAUAGACGAUUCAUAUAAUUGCUUGAGUCACUGAUUCUCAUUGCUUGAGUCACUGAUUCUCUCAGUUUGAACUAAUUACUCAUCUCAAAAGUAAUGUAGAGUUACUCAUCCAAAAAGUAAUGUAGAGAUAUCAUAGGGUAAAAGCUGCACUGCCUUGCGGCCCGCUUUUCAACAAGAAAAAGAACAUUCGACUGAGCUAUCGAGUAAGUAAAGUCGCAGCCUUUAGAGCUGGGUGCCGGGGCUAAGAUGAACCUCCACUCAACCCUCAACCUAGACAUAUAAUUCCUAACUCUUUAGUGGAUGAUUUGAUUGGAAUUACUAGCUCCUUAAUGGAUUUCAUUGAUUCUUUUUUAAGAGCUACCGACCCCAAGAAAAGAGUAUGUUACAUUUCCAACUGGCGGUCUACGUGAUUGAAGAAAGAGCCAUUAGCCCUUGCCUUCAACCAAAGCGGAUUUUUCGAAUAAAGGAAACACAAUGAUAUAAGCCUGCCCUGCAUAAAUCGUCCUGGCACCAUAAACGUCCUUAGCGCUCGCCCUAACUCCAGCCCGUCUUCCAUUCCCCUCCUUUUUUCAGCCUCGCUUAUGUUUCGCUUCAUUGUAAUAAUGAGAAGUCCAUUGUUGGCUCCUGCGCCAUAGCACCACACGCAUAGACGCAUAAGGCCUUUUUUCAUUAUAGAUUCAAGCUGACAACGCUUUCUCUUACUUAGGGAAGCAGAAGCUGCGGGUCGUCGUGUUCGUAAACGCAUCCAAAAUGGUGAAAGUUUCAUCCGAGGCAGAAGCUAACGAAAGACAGCGAGCGAAACGAGGGCGGGUGAAGGAACCGGGGAGAGUCAAUGAAUCCUACCUAUAACUUAAGAGCGGCAAAGAACACUUUGAUUCUAUAUGCCAUUAGUUGAAGCUGUCGUAUACAGUAAAAAGAGAAAAACCUUGCGCCAGCCUUAAGUAUGUAAUUAUGUAAUGCUAAUGAUUCGUAUACUAGGCGUGGUCUGAGUAUAUUCUAUCGACGGAAAGCGUCUAUCGCAGUGCAAAUCAUGUGAGUACCUUACCACCAACCAGAAAAAGUUCCUGCUCGUAAGGCUGGAUUCAAGCCAUGAUUCCAAAUCCGGGGUAGUGGGUCUCCGCCCGUGUGGAGUGUUUGGGAUAGCUGGGUCUAUAUAUGGGUAGAUAUACUAAGAUCUAUAAAGAACAAAUGGGAAAUGAAAACCGACGAAAUACGAUUACGGGCUAAGGAUAGGACCAGUCCGCUGGUCGAUAGGCCAAUAGGAACAAAAUAGGUAUGGCGCCCUAUCUUUCAAGCUUUCAAGGAAGUCGUCUUAUCAAGUUACCCAAUAGAAGGAAGGCUGAAAAACCGGAUCUAUGACUUCACCCUCCCUUGAAGCGCUUCUGGGCUGUUCACUGGAAGCUAGACCUAACAACUAGACGACCACCUGAUCGUAGACCAUCCACCAAAGCCUUUGUUUUUGAUUCUAUUUCUUAUGCAGGGCGUGCUAGCGGGAAGUCCGGUUAUGAACACCCUCCAUCAACCAUCGUAUCCAUUUUCUAUUAGGUGGGUCGGGUCAUAUUAGAUUAUAGUAAGUACAUUUAUUUGCUCCUUGUUAAAACUCAUAAUCGAAUCUCCUUCUUCUAGGCAACCAGGCUUACUCGUAAGAAAGGUAGAGAAUAGAGUGGACUGGGCUUGUUAAAAGAAGUAUGAGUUUACAGUGAAAUCAGUAGUAGUUGCCCUUACAUUAAGUCGGCCUAGCCAGUAGUAUACGAGAGGGGAGCAUUAGAUAGUAGCAAGAGGGAGUUCAGUCUGCUACUGACACUCAACAGGGAGCUGGCUUUCAGCACCUCACUUUUUCACUGUAACUGGGCAUUCAUUCCACUUUAACUUGACCCGGACUAAGGGUUCAGGAAGGAUCUUAUUAGCAGAAUUCAAUGAAUUUCACCCUGCUUGCGUCAUCUGAAAGAAAAGAAGGGGUAUGGGUCUUUGAGGCUGAGGGCUGUCCAAUUAUAGAGUUUACUCAUAUUGGAAUUAGAGAGUUUACUCAUAUUGGGAAGCUAGGAAUAUAGGAAUAAGAUAUAGUAAUAAGGGAAGCUAGGAAUAUAGGAAUAAGGGAAGCUAUGAAAGGCAACUACUAGACUCGCUAACCACUUCUAUUUCCUCUCCUGGUAGUACUGUUAGAGUUAGAGUUUCAGACCAGUUAGUAGAUACCUUAUUCUUAUUCUAGGUAUUGUUGACAGAGCAAGAGGUGAAGUAGUCGUCAGCAGCAAACGAUAAGGGAGUUGUUGCCGGGUAGCAAGUAUACGAGUAGUUGGCUCUUUGAACACAAGUCCUGAAUUCACCUAUAUUAGAGAUGAGUGAAACUAGUAUAUGUACCUUCUUUGGCGCAAGUAGUAGAGUAGUUGGCUCUUUCCAAUUAAUUGAACCCUGCUGGCUCUGCUGGGCGAGUGGAAUCUUUUAUCCUUUCUAAAGAUAGAAGAAAUAAAGAAAGAAAUCCAGUGGUCAUGUUUUUCACUGUGAAACCAACCCUGGAGUAGUUGCUAAUGACAAAUUCUCCGAAGUAACAAUAUUAGAAACCAUUGCUUGUCUCCGGGUCUAAAGUCUCAGUAACACCUGAUUUAGAGUAUUAGGCUUUCCCCCCUGAACCAUCUUUUGAGUCCUUUCCUGGAGACUUAACUGCUGAUUCAGAACAAACACCUUACUGACGCAACUAAGUACUAAACUUCUUGGCCCUAUCCACUUUCCGGAUCCCAGUAUCUGUCUGAUAUUGUCGCCCUUUCUUUUCCACUGUUGAUUCUCUCGGCACCAACACACGAACCCGGCUCCUGCUGCCCUGGCUUUCUUUCUCACUUUCCAGAUAGCUCACCCCUUAUUCAGUGCUUUAAGGCAACAAGCAACUACUCAUGUUGCGCGUUAGCGAGUUAAGGGCUCACUACUUGGAGUCUGAGUCUACCUGGUGUCAUUCUGGUUAGCAGUGAUGGAAUUCUUAAAGUAAGUAUCAGCUCCCCGCUGGCGACUUUCAUUCUUUCACUCCUUAGUUUGAUUCUGAUCUAUUCUGAUCUAGUACCCAAUAGCCAGGGAAUCAGUGGUAUAGUUAACAGACUUCAGGGAAUCAGUGGGAGUGAUUUCAGCCUGUGACUACUUAGUUUGAUCCGUUCACCUAUAUAAAGAGAAUAUAGAAUUUAGUAAGGGCCAAGGCCAAGGCCAAGCAACGGCGCGCCAAGACACUACUAACGUGUCGCGGCAGCGAGUUGAAAGCUGCGCGGCAGCAGCAGCAUAGAUAUGUUAUAACCAAUUAUGACCAAGUCAUGUGUUCGCGUUACGCGGCAGGCGUUCUCCCCACAAUUCUCUCUUUUCUUCUAUGCUUAACACAAGCACCUGAACCGACCUAUAAUAAGUGUUCACCCCGACCCGACCUAUCUUUCCAUUGGCACAACUAAUGCUAUCAGCCAAGUCGCGUAUACAAAUAGAGAGAGGAGCCUCAUCUACUUAUUGCUCCUAUCUUAUUACUUCUAUGCUAUCUCUUAUGAAACAGGACUAGACUACUACUCCACUGGCAAAACAGGACCCCUACGCAGCUAGGCACAAGUUGAUCUAAAGUAAACAAAUCAUUCAUCUACUUCUCCUCUGGCAACUGACACUCGGUCUUCAACUAGCACCGAACCUAUCUCUACCCUUAACAUUAUUGUUUCUAGUUCCAACCAAGGCUAUGGAGGUUUCAACUUCCACUCGGUAUUCCACACUUCGAUUUUCAGAACUGUCAACACCUUACUUUAGAACUGAGCUUGAUUGUUCCCCUGUUGUUACUGUUGCUGAUGGGGAUCUGUCUUCUGUAGUUUGAUUUGAUGGGAAAUCCUUCAUUGGAAACUCAGAAACUUGCCAACGAAGUCAUUUCUGCCUACCAUCUUUAUGGUUCCUUCCCUGAACUAAUUGAACUAGUUGACUUCCCACUACUCUGGUAUUGUAUAAGAAUAGUGGCCCAGCGACUACUAGAUGCGGCAGAUGGGUCAUAUAACUACUGAGUGCAAUUCACCAAGCAACUACAACAAGGCCCGAGCUACUGCUUUUCUUUCCAUGACUACUUAUACGGAUGCUUAGAUUUAGUCUCUCGCUCUUGUCUGUGAGUCUUCCUUGCCUUGCCUAGAUCCCAAGCUAACUCUUAUGGUCUUAUAGCUCUGCCGGGUAUCCUGACUUUAUUAUCUCAUUCCCUGCGGUGUUUCUCCAAUUCCCAUGCACGCUCUAGCUUAAGACCCGGCAGUGACCAUUCCUAUAGGAGUCAUUUCAUUCUUUUACUAAUGAGUCAACUUCUGCAUUCUCAGUGCAAUUCCUUAUUCUUAGUUAUUCCUCUGAUAAGUAAUAGUUGUUUUGUCUUGCUAGGUGCCUAGCCUAGGGUAUAUGAGUGAGUAGAACAGAAUCAGUAUUAGUCCUUAGUUCAAUUCGUAUAAGUAGUAAGUGGGAUUCUUUAACAAACAAGUAAGGAUCAAAGAUGGGAAUAGCAGACCCAAACCUAACUCUCUAAAGGCGGAUUGGGAGUCGAACUACAAAGUUCUUUUUAUCGGACUCAACUCACACUCAAGGCAAUAAGGUUUUAGGCUGCUUAGUUCAUUUAUUCAAUGAAUGUCCUUUAUUCGUACUAUACUAUUUGUCUUAGAGCUUGUAUCCAAGGACAGGGAUCCUUACUUAACUAGAGACUAAUGGCCCAAUGAGAGCCCAGGUCACAGAAUUUCGUUUCUGAACAGAGGAACCUAGUGUUCGAUCGGUUACUACUCUACUACUACUCUCUUCGGGCUUACUACUCAAUAGUUGUAGGCUUACUUCUAACAUGGACUAAUAACUUAUAACUCAUAACUAGUAACAGACUGAAACAACUAUACCCUAGCCUCGCCUAACAAGUAAGUAAGUCAACCUGCCUAGUACAAGUAAGUAAACAAAGAACUUACUAUAAGGGCCUCUCAACUGGACCACUACUUGUCAACUUCAGACUCCCUCGGGAGCUCAACUAAGUAAGUAUAUAGUAGAAAAGGCGCACACAGGACAGAUAUAGUAGUUCCGCUAUUGCUCUUGAAACUAAAGUACUGCUUCCAAACCUGCUCUUCAAACAACUUCUUUAGCGGCAGUCCGGGUUGGGAGUAGCAACACCUACUUCUAUUGAACUAAAUGAAACAAGUGAGUUACAGCCUGUGUUGUGUUCGUAUGCCUCUGCCUCUGCUGCCUAUGCCUUUAGUUAGUAAUUUGUAUGGGGUUCGUCUGCCUCGCCUCUCAAUCUUAUCUAUCUUAUCUUGUUAAAACAAGGGAAAGGGUAAACGAGGUCAUUCAUAUGAGUCCCCUUCAGUUCGAGGUCUGUUAUGAAAGUCUAGUUAUUGCCCCUUUAAGUAGUGCUUCUUCACAAACUACCCGAGCCGCCAAGACACGGAUAGACAAGUUACUACUCAUAGCUUCCCUUUCAGACUACACUAGGGAUAGGGAAGAAACAGAAUCAGGCCAGGGCAGCUAGGGCCAAGUCACUCAGAUAUUAAUUCUCCGAUGUCAACAAAUACUUCCUCUCCUCAGCUACAAGGCCUUAGCAACCUAUCACUUAUUACAAAUAUUCUGCAUUACAAGUUAUUGGAAGGUUAUGACCAAUCCUAGGAAAGAAAUAAGUCACAAUUAUUCAAAAUAAGGGAGCUGACUGAUGGAGAGUCAAAUUGAUAUGAAUGAGUUGCUUUGAUGUUGACUACCAGAAAUUAGUAAAAUAGUUGCCCGAGGUAUUAUAGAAGAUAGUAGCCAAGAUAGUUGCCAGAGGUAGAGGUGUUGCGGGAAGGGGAGGCGUGUAAUAGAAAAAGUCACUAACCCCACAACCCAGUAGGGCUCUUUCUCGAUAGUAGGAAAACCCCGUAGGGCUCUUUCUCGAUAGUAGGAAUUUGCCUCUACAGUAGGAAAGUAACUUCACAGUGUGUUUAAAGCAAUAAAGUUCUAAUUUCACUUUCCGGUAAGAAACAUAAGAUUUAGCUAGGUCUGAUAGCUCAGCAGAUAUAUAACUGAUAGCUCAGCAGAUAUAUAAGUAUUCCGUCGACUAUUAGACUCUAUUCUAGUUCUCUCUCUCGCAUUACUUGAAACAAAGAAUUCCACUCCAAGGGAGGAAACGGAGCCAAGCUACUCAGAGACAAGACUCGGCAAUAAAUGUAUUAUUAAUGAAGUUAUGAGCAAGUCCUUUAUUCUAUUCUGGGCGGUAGGAGCCGAGUUCUGGCGGUAGUGAGUUCCAAGCGUCAGCUACGAAAUAACUUGUUUCAUCCGGUAUUAUCCUUAAGAAAGUUCUAUUGAUUUUCUUAUACAGGGUGUGUACAGUGUCAGUAUAGGAUCAAUUCCAGUCGUUUUUCUUUUGACUAUGGUGAUUCCAACAGUUUUAAGCCCACUCUACAACUCUCUUCUUUUCUUUAGUUCACUACCGGUCAACUCUCUUCUUUCUUAAAGGAAGGAAUGCUAGGUGGUUCGGCAAGAAAAAGCCCAGUGUUAUCUAGCUCUAUCAUACAAUACAUCGCUCUUUACCGCUCGAACAAGAACAGGGCAUUCUCAUUCUUCAGCUCGAACUAUACUAGCAAAACCGGGAAUCAUACUAACUAAUAUCAGAAUAAACCCACAGCCAAUAAGAGGAACGCGGCCUUUGAAUCACUGAUCGCCGGGGUUGCAACAAGCAAAUAGUACCUCCCUAAUAAGAAGGAUCCUGCUCUACUGCCUAACAGCCUUACUAUCUUCACUUUUCGCCUUACUUGAAAGCCUCUGAGCUUCUAUGCCUCUACUCCUUUCCUUAGUUGCAUCCUAUCUAUCCUAUCUAUCAGUCCGCCCCUUGACUCUUUAACCACUGAUUCGGAUCUUUAUUUGAGUGUUUCGAACCACAACAUCCCGGUUUGUUAGCCUGCAACUCAGCUCUCCUAUUCUUAUACCUUGGAGUUAGCUACUGAUCUAAGUCUCGCUUUUGCUAGUUUGUUUGUUAAUCUGCUUGUCGAGUUUCAUUCCUACUAAACAGCCAUAGUACAAGUCAUUCUCCACAGACCCAUAUGAUAGACAAAGACAUCCUCCGUAUCACCGACCCUACAAUGGAAAAACCCUUAUCUCGGUUACCCAAUUGCAUCCGUUAUUGCAGGAUGGAUUCUUUCAUUCCUUAUUCCGUUUCAGUGUCUCUAGUAUGAGAGUAUGGGGCGCACCUACUCGUUCUUGGGCUGCGGAGCUCGAUUCCUACUUCUUAAAACUCAUUCUUUAACAGCAGAGCUUAACUCUUACUUUGCAUCUCUUAAAACGGAAGCUGCUCUCUGCCAUUCUUACUUGCUAGUUUGUGAUUCCCUUGUGUACAUGCCGCUGUUCCUCAUACACCUAUAGCACAUGCGCUACUGCAUUUAAGGUAAGUAGCCUUAUGAUUCUUUAUCGAAAGGGAGAGGCAUAUCAGGACCUUAGUUCACCAAUAAUAAGAGGAAUUAUGUUAACUUCUAAUAAUGAUGUUUACUUGACACCGGCACUAACAAUGAGGAAUGCGCUACUACCCUAUUAGAUCGAGAAACACUACUGGAAGGGAUCUAUUGACAAACAGACUCGAACUACCGCUUUUAAGGCAGCCCUUCCCCCUAUUAGUCUGUAGAGCUCCUGCCCUUGAUUGUUUCCCUCUGGACACUGAUCCUUGAACUAAACCAGUGCUAACAGGGUUCUCACUGCUGUCUCUUAGCCUUGUUUUGAAACUAACUUCCCCCACGCACUCUGACUCUUUGCUUUGAUUCCAAUGCUCUUUGCUUUAAUGCUCGAACUACGGACCCGUAUUCCCUAUCUAAUGAUCCAGAUCUUUUAUCUUAUUAAUAAGUAAUUGGACUAAUAGUAGCAAGACGAUAACUCAAAACUAUGGCAGUGACUGCAGCUUAUAGGGCUGUUACUGCAUGGAAGUUGGUGGUCGUUAGUGAGCGGUAGCUCUAUUCUAGGGGAGUAGUUAAGUGAAGCCUGUUUGCCAUUACAUUAGUUCCAUCCUAAUAGUUAGUAACUCGAUUCUUGUUAUCGAAGAAAGCGGAAUGAAAAUAAGUGUAUUGAGAGUCAAAGAUGGGAAGAGCGGGCUAGUAGGAGGUAGUCACUACGGAAUGAAGUGCAAGAGGUUAGCGAUCAAUCUAGUAGUUAUUAGUUCCGUUCGGUAGCUCGUAGUUUAGUCGAUAGCUCGUAAUUGAGUUCUCAUAUUAUUAGUUAGUUAGGGCCUUGUUAUAUGCAAGUGAAGCCUGUAUUCAUUGUGGAAGAGCUUAGUUUCCCCGGUACCCCGACUGGGAAUGGGAAGCUUUUGAUUCUCACUUUGGAGUCGAAGUCCUAUCAGUGCAAUAUCUGUUCCCUUCUUAGAUACCUAUAAAUACGACAUUCUCCCAUUACUGGCACAGUUUCUUACUUGGUGGUUGACACCUUAACAAAACUAGUGCUCCCGAGACUUAACCUAUUGGCGAACAAUGGUUCCUUUCCUGCCUCCCGAGCCUGUCUUCUAUUCUUUACACGCUAGGUAUCAAACGGACAUUGUGCCCAAGGGCUUUAGGAUCCUCUGCCACAUGUAUCAGCCUACCGUUAUUAACUAGCAAACUUAUAUUACUGCCUUAGAGUCUUAUUACUCGCAACACAGGCUUAGGCGAGUGAGGCAAUCCAUAUUCUUGUAUUAGCUCUUAGGUGACUGUAGGACAUUCCGACUUCUUAGCCCAAUUCUCAGAAAUGAGUUUAUUUACUCAGGGGGCAUUAUUGGAAUCUGAUUUCUAUUACUUUUACUCUGAUUAGCAGUGGUGAAAUCCUUAUAUGAGUAAGUUCAAUCUAUGUGGGCAGUUACUGAUUCUUUCUAUUGGUCUUAUCGCUCUUGUAGCAGAGACCAGCAUCUUGUAGCGUAUGGUAUCUUGUAUUAUUGACUUGUAGUAUUAUUCUCGUUAGUUGAUUUCCUAGCUAUGAGGAACAGUAUUAGAGGUUGUAUUAUUUGUAGAAUGAGAUAGAGCAAAGUAAGAUCUAGGUUCAGUAAAGUGAGACUAACGGCCUAGGUAUAGAUAGUCGGGAAAGGCGGGACGGGGCUAGCUAGCUAACUAGUGGAAUGAAGAAUCAAAGGCAGUAGAUCCAGUUUUCAAGCAAGCAAACCCAAGGUCACAUACCUGUCGAAUCAAACUCAAAUGCAUAAUAAGUGGAAUAGUUUUCAUCUCCAAUAGGGGGGCAGGCAUUAAUAUUCAAAACUCUACAGCUGGGACAUCAUACACAGCUAGAUCCUAUUUGAGUUUAGGAGAUCGAAAGGGCAAAGAGAGCCAACCGGUCAUGGUCAUCAUGGAGAAAAAACCACUACUUUUUCGUUCAAUUGGCCUAUAACAAUCUUCUUAUCACUAAGGGCUCGAACCAUAAGAGACCACUCUGGGUUCAGUUAAAGUCUCUCUUUGGUCACAGCCUACUCGUUUUCGCAAGAUCCACAGGAGAAAGGGGGGUUUAGUUGAUUGGAUCUCGAUGACCUCUCCGAAAAAGGGCAGCUUAAGGAAGAGGCAAAAAGGAGGGCUUCUUCACAAGGCACCGGGACCUAAACUUUUCAAUUGAUGUGGCUGAGAUUAGCCUGAAACAACCUCCAGGUCCGCAAUCCUUUUUAUCUUAGGUUAGACUAAGGGAUGCUGAGGCUCAGGUAUCACAGGCCGUCAUCCAGAAAGUCAUUACUACCCUAAACCCCUUUUACCGUUCAAAAGAAACAGAGUGAGCAGAGAAGUGAUUGCUAAUCCACACAGAAAGGCUUGUUAUUACGAAUCAUGUGCCAAAUGCAAUCAGGCAUUCCAUGAGAAAGAACCAAUUCUCUGAGAAAAAGAACCUUGCUUGCCUUACUAGCUCUCUUGUUAUGAGCAUGUACCACAGGUGGAUUCAGUCCCUUCCUUAUAGCCUUGCAGUCCAAUCUUAUCUACAAUCCUUUUUCUUUAUUCUGGGCAUCAAUCCCAUGUGAGCAAAAAGGGCCAAGUCAUCACCAAAAAGGUAACGGAAACCCGACAAAUGAUAGUCAUGAGGGCCAAGCAACGGGCCAAGCUACUCAUACCGACAAGACUGACCCCGCUAAGUAGGAGUACAACUGCGACUUAUAGUACUGUUGCUACUGAUCCAGAUCCUUUACAAGUUUGGGCACUUUACCUAGUCAUACUUCUUUGGGCACUUUACCUAGUCAUACUUCUUU